UUGGUCUUUGUUCUUUUGAUGCGCGAUAGUCGACUUGUCGGUUUAACGCUUAAAUUCACACAAUGCUAUCAAAUGCGGUUAUGGACACCAUCACUGGCAACAUCGGAUACGGAACUUCCAAAAUAUAACUUCCUUCUACAUUGGUACAGCGGUAUUGGUCGUCAAAACGCCAUUCCUGCAUGGGCUCCAACAAUUAAAAUAUAAAAUCUGAGUCGCCGCUGAUUUUCCUGAUCCUCACUGGGGGCUCCAAAUGUAACGGGGUGUCAUGUGGCUAACAAAACCAAUCCAGUAAAAGUUGAUAAUUUU
Molecule: long non-coding RNA, 306 nt
Filed under: Mytilus galloprovincialis (Mediterranean mussel)
Lineage: Eukaryota; Metazoa; Mollusca; Bivalvia; Mytilida; Mytilidae
Source: RNAcentral